AGCAGCCGCGGUAAUUCCAGCUCCAAUAGCGUAUAUUAAAGUUGUUGCAGUUAAAAAGCUCGUAGUUGAAUUUCGGGAUUAGUACGUUGGUCGUGCCUUCGGUACGUACUGGUGUUACUGGUUCUUACCUUCUGACGAACCAUCAUGUCAUUAAUUUGGUGUGGCGGGGAAUCAGGACUGUUACUUUGAAAAAAUUAGAGUGUUUAAAGCAGGCUCGCGCUUGAAUACAUUAGCAUGGAAUAAUGAAAUAGGACGUUGACCCUAUUUUGUUGGUUUCUAGGAUUGACGUAAUGAUUAAUAGGGAUAGUUGGGGGCAUUAGUAUUCAAUUGUCAGAGGUGAAAUUCUUGGAUUUAUUGAAGACUAACUACUGCGAAAGCAUUUGCCAAGGAUGUUUUCAUUAAUCAAGAACGAAAGUUAGGGGAUCGAAGACGAUCAGAUACCGUCGUAGUCUUAACCAUAAACUAUGCCGACUAGGGAUCGGAUGAUGUUAAUUUUUUAAUGUACUCAUUCGGCGCCUUA
This 520-nucleotide ribosomal RNA is filed under the name uncultured Glomus. RNAcentral's name for it is "SSU rRNA". It matches the Rfam family "Eukaryotic small subunit ribosomal RNA", at positions 569 to 1090 of the family's 1831-position model. Lineage: Eukaryota; Fungi; Glomeromycota; Glomeromycetes; Glomerales; Glomeraceae. The record is from RNAcentral.